GGUAUUGUUCAAGCAGUAGAGCAUGUGCUUAGCAUGCACGAGGUCCUGGGUUCAAUCCCCAGUACC
Molecule: transfer RNA, 66 nt
Filed under: Camelus bactrianus (Bactrian camel)
Lineage: Eukaryota; Metazoa; Chordata; Mammalia; Artiodactyla; Camelidae
Also listed under: 2 other names
Rfam family: tRNA
About the family: Transfer RNA (tRNA) molecules are approximately 80 nucleotides in length. Their secondary structure includes four short double-helical elements and three loops (D, anti-codon, and T loops).
Source: Rfam by way of RNAcentral